RNAcentral lists this ribosomal RNA (460 nucleotides) under uncultured bacterium. Its description in RNAcentral is "partial 16S ribosomal RNA". It matches the Rfam family "Bacterial small subunit ribosomal RNA", at positions 338 to 795 of the family's 1533-position model. The record is from RNAcentral.
CCUACGGGAGGCAGCCGUGAGGAAUAUUGGUCAAUGGGCGGAAGCCUGAACCAGCCAAGUAGCGUGCAGGAUGACGGCCCUACGGGUUGUAAACUUCUUUUAUACGGGAAUAACGCGCCUUACGUGUAGGGCUUUGCAUGUACCGUAUGAAUAAGGACCGGCUAAUUCCGUGCCAGCAGCCGCGGUACUACGGAAGGUCCGGGCGUUAUCCGGAUUUCUUGGGUUUAAAGGGAUCGUAGGCCGCAUGUCAAGCGUGCUGUGAAAUGUCCGGGCUCAACCCGGGCCUUGCAGCGCGAACUGGCGUGCUUGAGUCCGCGGAAAGCAGGCGGAAUGCGUGGUGUAGCGGUGAAAUGCUUAGAUAUGACGAAGAACCCCGAUUGCGAAGGCAGCUUGCUGCAGCGGAACUGACGCUGAUGCUCGAAAGCGCGGGUAUCGAACAGGAUUAGAUACCCGUGUAGUC